This 1508-nucleotide ribosomal RNA is filed under the name uncultured bacterium. RNAcentral's name for it is "16S ribosomal RNA". It matches the Rfam family "Bacterial small subunit ribosomal RNA". The record is from RNAcentral.
UAGAGUUUGAUCAUGGCUCAGAUUGAACGCUGGCGGCAGGCCUAACACAUGCAAGUCGAACGGUAACAGGAAGCAGCUUGCUGCUUCGCUGACGAGUGGCGGACGGGUGAGUAAUGUCUGGGAAACUGCCCGGUGGAGGGGGAUAACUACUGGAAACGGUAGCUAAUACCGCAUAACGUCGCAAGACCAAAGAGGGGGACCUUCGGGCCUCUUGCCACCGGAUGUGCCCAGAUGGGAUUAGCUUGUUGGUGGGGUAACGGCUCACCAAGGCGACGAUCCCUAGCUGGUCUGAGAGGAUGACCAGCCACACUGGAACUGAGACACGGUCCAGACUCCUACGGGAGGCAGCAGUGGGGAAUAUUGCACAAUGGGCGCAAGCCUGAUGCAGCCAUGCCGCGUGUAUGAAGAAGGCCUUCGGGUUGUAAAGUACUUUUCAGCGGGGAGGAAGGGAUUGUGGUUAAUAACCGCAGUCAUUGACGUUACCCGCAGAAGAAGCACCGGCUAACUCCGUGCCAGCAGCCGCGGUAAUACGGAGGGUGCAAGCGUUAAUCGGAAUUACUGGGCGUAAAGCGCACGCAGGCGGUCUGUCAAGUCGGAUGUGAAAUCCCCGGGCUCAACCUGGGAACUGCAUUCGAAACUGGCAGGCUUGAGUCUCGUAGAGGGGGGUGGAAUUCCAGGUGUAGCGGUGAAAUGCGUAGAGAUCUGGAGGAAUACCGGUGGCGAAGGCGGCCCCCUGGACGAAGACUGACGCUCAGGUGCGAAAGCGUGGGGAGCAAACAGGAUUAGAUACCCUGGUAGUCCACGCCGUAAACGAUGUCUACUUGGAGGUUGUGCCCCUGAGGCGUGGCUUCCGGAGCUAACGCGUUAAGUAGACCGCCUGGGGAGUACGGCCGCAAGGUUAAAACUCAAAUGAAUUGACGGGGGCCCGCACAAGCGGUGGAGCAUGUGGUUUAAUUCGAUGCAACGCGAAGAACCUUACCUGGUCUUGACAUCCAGAGAACUUUCCAGAGAUGGAUUGGUGCCUUCGGGAACUCUGAGACAGGUGCUGCAUGGCUGUCGUCAGCUCGUGUUGUGAAAUGUUGGGUUAAGUCCCGCAACGAGCGCAACCCUUAUCCUUUGUUGCCAGCGGUCCGGCCGGGAACUCAAAGGAGACUGCCAGUGAUAAACUGGAGGAAGGUGGGGAUGACGUCAAGUCAUCAUGGCCCUUACGACCAGGGCUACACACGUGCUACAAUGGCAUAUACAAAGAGAAGCGACCUCGCGAGAGCAAGCGGACCUCAUAAAGUAUGUCGUAGUCCGGAUUGGAGUCUGCAACUCGACUCCAUGAAGUCGGAAUCGCUAGUAAUCGUGGAUCAGAAUGCCACGGUGAAUACGUUCCCGGGCCUUGUACACACCGCCCGUCACACCAUGGGAGUGGGUUGCAAAAGAAGUAGGUAGCUUAACCUUCGGGAGGGCGCUUACCACUUUGUGAUUCAUGACUGGGGUGAAGUCGUAACAAGGUAGCCGUA